CCUGGUUGAUCCUAUCAGAACCAUAUGCUUGUCUCAAAGAUUAAGCCAUACAUGUCUAAGUACGCAGGGCCAGUACAGUGAAACUGUGAAUGGCUCAUUAAAUCAGUUAUGGUUCUUUUGGUUGCUGGCUCCUCUCCUACUUGGAAAACUGUGGUAAUUCUAGAGCUAUUACAUGCCGAAGGGCACUGACCCCCUUCACGGGGAAGAUGCGUGCAUUUAUCAGAUUAAAACCAACCCAGUCAGCCCCUCUCCGGCCCCGGCCGGGGGGUCGGGUACCACCAGCUUUGGUGCCUCUGGAUAACCUCGGGCCAAUCGCACGCCCCCCGUGGCAGCGAUGACCCAUUCGAACGUCUGCCCUAUCAACUUUCUAUGGUAGUCACUGUGCCUACCAUGGUGACCACGGGUGACAGGGAAUCAGGGUUCGAUUCUGGAGAGGGAGCCUGAGAAACGGCUACCACAUUCAAGGAAGGCAGCAGACAUGCAAAUUACCCACUCCUGACACGGGGAGGUAGUGACGAAAAAUAACAAUACAGGACUCUUUCGAGGCCCUGUAAUUGGAAUGAGUCCACUUUAAAUCUUUUAAUGAGGAUCCAUUGGAGGGCAAGUCUGGUGCCAGCAGCCAUGGUAAUUCCAGCUCCAAUAGCGUAUAUUAAAGUUGUUGCAAUUAAAAAGCUUGUAGUUGAAUCUUGGGAGCAGGUGGGCUGGUGAGCCACGGCCCAUCCCUGCUUCUUGCCUCUCGGUGCCCCCUGGAUGCUCUUAGCUGAGUGUCCUCUGGCCCAAAGCGUUUACUUUGAAAAAAUUAGAGUGUUCAAAGCAGGCCCAAGCCACCUGGAUACUGCAGCUUGGAAUAAUGGAAUGGGACUGCGGUUCUAUUUUGUUGGUUUCCGGAACUGAGGCCAUGAUUAAGAGGGAUGGCCGGGGGCAUUCAUAUUGCACCGCUAGAGGUGAAAUGCCUGGACUGGCACAGUUUGAACUGGAGCAAAAGCAUUUGCCAAGAAUGUUUUCAUUAAUCAAGAAUGAAAGUCGGAGGUUCGAAGACAAUCAGAUACCGUGGUAGUUCCGACCAUAAACGAUGCCGACUGGCGAUGUGGCGGCGUUAUUCCCAUGACCCGCUGGGCAGCUUCCAAGAAACCAGCCUUUGGGUUUUUCAGUUCCGAGGGGAGUAUGGUUGCAAAGCUGAAACUUAAAGGAAUUGACAGAAGGGCACCACCAGGAGUGGAGCCUGUGGCUUAAUUUGACUCAACAUGGGAAAACUCACCCGGCCUGGACAGGGACAGGAUUGAUAGAUUGAUAGCUCUUUCUCGAUUCCAUGAGUUGUGGUGCACGGCCUUAAUUGGUGGAGUGAUUUGUCUGGUUAAUUCCGAUAACGAACGAGAUUCUGGCAUGCCAAAUAGUUAUGCGACCCCCAAGUGGUCGGCAUCCCCCAACUUCUUAGAGGGACAAGUGGCGUUCAGCC
Molecule: ribosomal RNA, 1456 nt
Filed under: Homo sapiens (human)
Lineage: Eukaryota; Metazoa; Chordata; Mammalia; Primates; Hominidae
Description: SSU rRNA
Rfam family: Eukaryotic small subunit ribosomal RNA
Source: RNAcentral